AAAGCCAGCCAGACUCCUCCUGCAGCUCUGGUGGAAAACGGAGAAGACUUUUCCUUUCCUCCAUCUCCCCCAGGGCCUGGUGGAGUGAGGCGUUGUCCAGCUGUAAACUGU
Molecule: microRNA precursor, 111 nt
Organism: Chlorocebus sabaeus (green monkey)
Lineage: Eukaryota; Metazoa; Chordata; Mammalia; Primates; Cercopithecidae
Source: Ensembl